This 199-nucleotide microRNA precursor is filed under the name Oryza punctata. RNAcentral's name for it is "MIR1435 microRNA precursor family". It matches the Rfam family "MIR1435 microRNA precursor family". The record is from Rfam by way of RNAcentral. Lineage: Eukaryota; Viridiplantae; Streptophyta; Magnoliopsida; Poales; Poaceae.
UGGGUUUGUUCUAAGUAAAGCUUCUUCAAGUUUAACCAGGCUUAUAGAAAAAUGCUGCAAAAUUUUCAACACAAAACAAAUAUACUUAAAAGUAUAUUCGAUGGUGGAUUUAAUGAAACUAAUUUGGUGUUGUAGAUGUUGCUAUGCUUUUCUAUAAACUUGGUAAAACUUGAAGAAAUUUGACUUAGGACAAACCUAA